RNAcentral lists this ribosomal RNA (465 nucleotides) under uncultured bacterium. RNAcentral describes it as "partial 16S ribosomal RNA". It matches the Rfam family "Bacterial small subunit ribosomal RNA", at positions 28 to 507 of the family's 1533-position model. The record is from RNAcentral.
GACGAACGCUGGCGGCGUGCUUAACACAUGCAAGUCGAACGGAAAGGCCCCUUUGGGGUUACUCGAGUGGCGAACGGUUGUGUAACACUUGAGUAACCUUCCCUUGCCUUCGGGAUAACUUCAGUAAACUGGGGCUAAUACCGGAUAGGCAUCUUUGCUGCAUGGUGGGGGUUGGAAAGCUUCUGCGGUUUUGGAUGGACUCGCGGCUUAUCAGCUUGUUGGGGGGGUAGUGGCUUACCGAGGCUUUGACGGGUAGCCGGCCUGAGAGGGCGACCGGCCACAUUGGGACUGAGAUUCGGCCCAGGCUCCGACGGGAGGCAGAAGGGGGGAAUAGUGCACAAGGGGCAGAAGCCAGAUGCAGCAGCGCCGCGGGCGGGAUAACGGCCUUGGGGUUGGAAACCGCAUUCAGCAGGAGCGAAGCUUGUGGUGACGGUACCUGAAGAAGAAGCACCGGCUAACUACGUG